This 57-nucleotide ribosomal RNA is filed under the name Hypoderma rubi. Its description in RNAcentral is "partial 28S ribosomal RNA". Lineage: Eukaryota; Fungi; Ascomycota; Leotiomycetes; Rhytismatales; Rhytismataceae. The record is from RNAcentral.
CUCGGAUCAGGUAGGGAUACCCGCUGAACUUAAGCAUAUCAAUAAGCGGAGGAAAAA